Gorilla gorilla gorilla (western lowland gorilla) is the source of this 191-nucleotide small nuclear RNA. Its record names the gene U2. It matches the Rfam family "U2 spliceosomal RNA". Rfam says of the family: U2 is a small nuclear RNA (snRNA) component of the spliceosome (involved in pre-mRNA splicing). Lineage: Eukaryota; Metazoa; Chordata; Mammalia; Primates; Hominidae. The record is from Ensembl.
AACGCUUCUUGACCUUUGGGCUAAGAUCAAGUCUAGUAACUGUUCUUAUCAGUUUAAUAUCUGAUAUGUUCUCUAUCCGAGGACAAUAUAUUAAAUGGGUUUUUGGAGCAGGGAGGUGGAAUAGGAGCUUGCUCUCUCCACUCCACGCAUCGACCUGGUAUUGCAGUAGCUCCACGAACUGUGCACCCCUU